This 324-nucleotide ribosomal RNA is filed under the name uncultured bacterium. Its description in RNAcentral is "bacterial SSU rRNA". It matches the Rfam family "Bacterial small subunit ribosomal RNA", at positions 32 to 339 of the family's 1533-position model. The record is from RNAcentral.
AAUCAACGCUGGCGGCGUGCCUCAGACAUGCAAGUCGAACGAGAACCUCCCUUCGGGGAGGGGACAGUGGCGCACGGGUGAGUAACACGUGGGUAAUUUACCUUUGGGUGGGGAACAACAGCCGGAAACGGCUGCUAAUACCGCAUAAUGCAGCGGCUCGACAUCGAGACAGUUGUUAAAGCGGGGGAUCGCAAGACCUCGCGCCUGAAGAGAAGCCUGCGGCGGAUUAGCAGUUGGUAGGGUAAUGGCCUACCAAGGCGACGAUCUGUAACCGGCCUGAGAGGGCGGUCGGUCACACUGACACUGACAUACGGGUCAGACUCC